AAUGAACACGCUCCUGCAAUCUGUACACGCGGAAAAAUAAGAAUUCAUACUCCAUUUGAAUCAAAUGUAUGAUAUAUGAUAUGUCACGAUCAUUGUAAAUAUUUUGACCAACUAAUAAAAAAAAUGAACACGCCCCCCAAAAUAGUGUAGGUAGUCCCCUUCCCGAUUUAGGAAUAAGACUUUAAGUUACCCUAAAAAGCUACUGUAAGGAAGGAAAUUCAGCUUUUCCUCAAUUCCAAUUGCUGUGAACAAGUGCACAUUUGGGACAGAUCCCCUUUAGCAAAAAACAGAUUAAAAGGCUGGGGAUAUAACUCAGUUGGUAGAGUGGUUACCUUGCACGCACAAGGCCCUGUGUUCAAUCCCCAGCACCACAAAAAGAAAAAGAAAAAAAAAAACAACAGAUUAAUAAGAGAAAACCCAAGUCCAUUUCUUAACACUUGCAGGAGAAACUUCAAUGAAAGGUAGCUCAAGACAGUGGCUUACAACUCUGGCUUAUACAGCAUCUUCCACAAAGAACAAUAAACUUUUAGAGAAAUGGCAGAAGAAAGGCAAACAGUUUAAGCCUUCUAAUAAUGAGAAACUAAGAAGGCAAAUAAAUAUAUGGGAAGACACUGGAGGGGUAGGAUUCAUUCAUAGAUGCCUCAGGUGCCCUUCUCAGCUGAUAAGAGUUGUCUCCAGUAAAGGAGAAUUGAAAUCUUGUAUAUUUAAAUCUUGUAUAGAAUUUAUAUCUUUGGGUGGAAAAGGAGGCUAGAGAGAGCUCAUCCUCUAUUUGCUGCUUCUUCAUUGCUGUCAGCUCAAAAAUAUUUGUCAAGGAGGCAUAUGUGGGGGUGAUGCAUUCUGAUUUCCUUCACUACUUACAGUGAAUACCUUUUUAAGGGGAGAGUGGUAUUUUUACUAUCUAGGAAAAUUUCUUUUUAAGAAGUCUGGAAUUUGGAAGGAAAUAUAUUAAAGCUCUACUUGCGGGCUCAGAAAACUAGCACCAGUAAUAACCUCUUCAUUUACAGAAAGUGUUGCAGUAAGAAAGCAAUGUUAUACCGCUGUGCACCACAGAUCACCUAACCGCCACAGUGGUUCAGUUCUUAGCAUUACUCUCAAGCAGAAGAAACUGAUGCAUAAAUAAUAACGAGGCUCCCACUUCAAAUGGGCGGGUUUUAGAAAAAUCUCUAGCUUCUGAUGUUACUCAUAGGGAGACAAAAACCUGCCUCUGAUGGCAAAGGAGAAUAUGUUAAGUAGAUGAAGGUUUUGAGGUAAGACAGAAAAAUUAAGAAAUAGGUAGAAAGGAAAUACAAAGGAAGGACAGGGGAAAAGGACUUUUAAUUCACAAGUUCCGCAUUGUUUUUCAGGCCUGUCAUCCCCUAUGCCUGUUUCCUUCAAGGCCUUUUAUGCCAAAAUUCCAGGGAAAUCUGAAAAAUCUACCUGUGCACUGUUAAUUAACCACCUCAUAAAUCAAUUAAGCAAAGAGAGAUGUGUUAUCUUGAAGCACACAUAUUUUAGGGAACUUUCUAGCGCCAUCUAGUGAUCAGAUGAUGAAGACCACGUCAGCCUGAGGAUCCUGAGACUAACCAACCUCCAGAAACUGUCUUGAGAUCACCAGACUAAUAUCAUUCCUAAGUACCUUCUCAUACCCACCUCUCACCAAGUUUCCUUUAAAAAAAAAAAAGAACCCCAACUCAACAUAUCUGCAUUCUUCCUUGAAUGUAUAUUCCUUCUUGAGAUGGCUCCACUUUCCCUUGAAUGUGUACCAACUUUCCU
RNAcentral lists this long non-coding RNA (1752 nucleotides) under Marmota monax (woodchuck). The record is from RNAcentral. Lineage: Eukaryota; Metazoa; Chordata; Mammalia; Rodentia; Sciuridae.